AGUUGAAAAAUGCAUCCAUGGAUUCCUUGGGAUGAGCCGACUCCAAAAGUGCAAGGUCAGCUCCAGAUUUUGGCGAGUCGACUCCGGGUUAAGUCGAGUCGACUCCCAGUCGAGAAGACCACUUUAAUUCAAAUCUGGAACAGUUGCCGAGCCGACUCCAGAAAAGCAUGAGUCGACUCCUGCUACAGCCGAGUCGACUCCAGAUCGCGCGAGUCGACUCCGAUCCCAACGGAAACUUUGUCAGGAGUUGCAGACUGUGCACAACGGCUCUAUUUUUCUCUCUAACGGCUAGAUUUCUGGUUCCACGACAUGUAAAGCUAUAAAAUCAAGAGGAGAGCUAGGGAAGA
This 347-nucleotide long non-coding RNA is filed under the name Phoenix dactylifera (date palm). RNAcentral describes it as "long non-coding RNA (PDAC_LNC003191)". Lineage: Eukaryota; Viridiplantae; Streptophyta; Magnoliopsida; Arecales; Arecaceae. The record is from RNAcentral.